Gasterosteus aculeatus aculeatus (three-spined stickleback) is the source of this 2890-nucleotide long non-coding RNA. Lineage: Eukaryota; Metazoa; Chordata; Actinopteri; Perciformes; Gasterosteidae. The record is from Ensembl.
CAGACACACACACAGAGACUGUUUGUCUCUCUGUCCCCCAGUGAAUGCCUUUACUGUCCCGAUGACAGAAUGAAAUUACUGAAGUUCAUGCAUUGGAGUUUGUCCGCGGGCUAAAUCGAAUUACCGGCCUCCCUUGGAGAGGGAUGUUUGUUUCAUAAAGCUCCUGCAGUCCUGAAUUUUUUUUUUAUUGUAACACUAAUUGCCCGAGCUCUUCUGUCAAUACCAAUGCCGUCUGGAGAAGACUGAAAGACGGCAAUAAACGUUGGGACCCAGUGCGCCGUAGCCAGAGGCGGAGAGAGUGAGCUGCAGGCGGAAAAAGAAAAUGGAUCCAGAGGAGGCAACUUGUGCAAAGUUGCCGCGCAUCACUGUUUUGAAUUGUGACUUGAAGACUGUAAACGGUCCAGAGAGUCUGUGCACACUUUGUUUUACAUGAGCUACUCGUUGUUUACAGGUUAAUACGUUUAGACGAGUUUAUCAACCGUGGGAAACAACGGCAGGGUAUUCUGUUGAAUGCAGGCGUGAAGUGAAGUCAAAGCUGCAUUCUCUCUGGUGACCACCAGAGGGCGACUCCUUGUUCCUGUAGAAGUCUAUGAGAAGAUGACUUCUUCUCUUUUGAUUUAUUCCCUUAGUAGACAUCGUAAACAGUUCACGGCCUCAAUUAAUGGUUUAAAUUCUUAUUUGAUUCUCCUCUUUUGACUAAAAACAGAAACCCUAUUUUCCAAGAGGCCGAGAACUAAAUCGCCAAACUCAAGACAUCACAGAGACGUCCUGUCUGAUGAGGACUCAUGGAGCCACUGAAACAGCCGCUGUCGACUCUCCUGCAUGACUCACUUAUCGGCACUGCAGCAAAGGCUGACGUCCACCACACACACACACACACACACACACACACACACACACACACUCUAUACAUACCAAGUACGACCACGGGCUUCGCCGCUGCUGCUUCCUUAGAGUUUGAGCAGCCCGUUCAAGGGCACUUUGAUGGCGGCCAUUAAGGGAGAGACGCAGCGUCUCUUUCGGUUCCCGUAAUCAGAUUCUCCUUUUUGGAGUAGAAAGAGCCCCGAACAGUAAUGAAACACACACAGACACACACACACACACAACACAACGGGGAUAUUGGAAUACUGGGGCCUCACUAAUGUCCCGCAUUAGGACGGCGUAGCUGCAGGGGAAGACAUUAUUCAGCAAAACAGAGGCAGGACACACACACACUCUCAUUUCGCUCUCCUCUCUGUUCAGACCCGGUAUAUUUUAUUUCAUGGAUCCUCAUCCAACGUUGAUUCAGUCGGAUCCAUCUGUGAGAGACAAUAAGCAGGCUCGGUAAACACAGAAAGAAAGACACACAAAAACAUCCACACACGAAUGCAGGACGUCGGCGGGAGUCUCCCAAUCGAUGAUCUUCACGCAACAGAAAGCACAUCAACGCACGCGUCGCUUCCCGUGAACACACACUGCGUAAAGACGGCGUCUCCUGGGACCGAGGUGGAUCCUCUGCCCUCGUCGUCUCAGUCCACUGUGACACCGGUGCUUUCGUGAGGCUUAAGAGUUCAUCGAUCCCGAGAUGAUAUCUACCUUGAAACAAAUACUGUCCGUGCGAGCGGACGGGAUGUUUGGGUUCGUUGCCUCGGCCCGUUUUCAGCAGCGUGAAGCGAUGCUGCACCAGGCUGAUUCUCCUCUCCUGAACCCUUUCACCUCCCCCCUCCCCCCCCAAACGUCUCAGGGGCGUCCCGUAUUCCCUGACAGGACGCUGCUGUCUUUUAGCCACUGCACAUCCCAGGAGGAGAUGAGCCGCUUCUUUCUGCUGUAAUGGAAGAUUCCAGGCGCCUCGUCUCUCUCUCCGGCCUUAUUUCUCCUCCAGACUCCACCUUCCUGUCCGGGGAGCAGCUUCUUGGCGGCGGAGCAAAGGAACGUCAAGGUGGGCCGGUCGGAGCCGAGGGGGGCCCGAGCCCGGCCUCCAGAGAGAGCGCGAGGAAGGGGGGGAAGAACGUAGUCCCAUGACGGCGGGCAGGACGGUCGGACCAGCAUGCAUCUGGAAGCACGUGGUUGGUUAAGAAGAAGAUCAAACCCGUUAGCAUGACUCCACGGAGCGUGAUCGUUGCAGCGGAGUGAGAGGAAAAGCAGGAAGCGCACACGCUAAACAUUUAACCAGAGCACACGGAUAAACGUUCAUUUUCCUUCCCGUUUGUGAGGGCUCAGAUGUUGUUGUUUUGUUCCGUUUUCCUCCCACUUAACCUCGCAGCUUAAAGCGGCGUGCACAAACAAAAACAAAGGAAACUUUCUUUCUCUCCUCCUCCUCAAACAGCUCCUUUCCUUGAGGCCAACAUUGCACAGUCAACACAUUACCCCCUCCACCAACGCGCACACACACACACACACACACACACUCUCACGCCACAGGACAGGCAGCCCAUUCUCUUUUAGUGCUGUCACUCCACAUUAAGGAUGCUCACCCUCAAAUGACCGGCUGCAGGCUGCAGCAGCAACCUUGUUUUUACAUAAGCACCUCCGACACACUCGCACUGCAGCCGGCAGCGCGUCCCCCCCCCCCCCCCCCACUCGACUGAGGACGGAGGACGCUCGUUGACAAGCCGUCCGUUGCACAGGCUGGACUUCCAACCUUAGCCAACAGAAAAAAACGACACAAAAGUCCUGAUUUUCGAAAUGCUUUAUGAUUUGUCUUCAUGUUUAAAAAGAUGUUCCCAAUUACCUAAAGACUUUUUCGCAAGAACGUCUUAAUGUUCAAGAAACAUCACAUUUCAAACUGGCCUCAUUAACCAAAAAACAUUGUUGACCUAUAUAUUUUGAAAUACUUCCCAGAUUUCCCGAAAUGGAAAUUUUCCGAGAGGAGCUUAAAAUUCAAAUCCGUCCUCACAAAGGUAGCAGACAG